UCAUUUCAACCCUUAAGCCUAGCUUAGUGUUGGGAGCCUACUGUAUUGUAGCUCCCCAAAUCCAACGGCGGAUCUGUGGUAUCCUCUGAGCGUAGUAAUUUUUAUCUCGCUUUUGUCAGGUGCUGCAGCUCUCAGCCGCUAAACCCCCCAAUUUUUUAAUGGUUGACCUCGGAUCAGGUAGGAAUACCCGCUGAACUUAA
Molecule: unclassified non-coding RNA, 200 nt
Filed under: soil metagenome
Description: partial contains internal transcribed spacer 2 and large subunit ribosomal RNA
Source: RNAcentral